GUGUGCGAUCAUAUUAGUACGAAAGCAUCAAAUCCCAUUGGAACUCCAAAGUUAAGCGUGCUUGGGCGAGAAUGGUACUAAGAUGAGCUUUGUCACAGGACUUCCACAGAAACAGGCA
This is a non-coding RNA of Cephalotus follicularis, 118 nucleotides long. The record is from Rfam. Lineage: Eukaryota; Viridiplantae; Streptophyta; Magnoliopsida; Oxalidales; Cephalotaceae.